Long non-coding RNA from Arachis stenosperma, 2041 nucleotides. RefSeq lists it as uncharacterized. The record is from RefSeq and is a predicted model, not a curated record. NCBI's taxonomy places the organism in Eukaryota, Viridiplantae, Streptophyta, Magnoliopsida, Fabales, Fabaceae. The transcript has 4 exons.
UAAUUUAAUUUAUAUCAUUUAAUACUUUAAGUUAAAGAUAAAGAAAAAAUAAUUAUAUUAUCAUGAAUUUUCAAUUAGAGUAAUUUAUUGAAAAUCAAUUAGUAUUUUUAUACUACAAAUAAUAUUUUAAAGUAACUUUAGAGAUUAAAUUAGUUUUUCAAUAUUAAUAUCUUAUGCUCUAAUUUUAUUAAAAUUAUCAAAUUAUCCUUAUACCUAAUUUUUACCAAAACCCUAAAUCCCCAAAAUAUCACGCUAAUCCUAAUUCUACCCUAACCCUUAGCCACCACCGCCACACCCCCCAAACCCUUCAGCCAAACUUCAGCCACUAACCAAGAAAGAAAUGAAAAAAAAAAGAAAGAAAGGGGGAAAGAGGGAACGGGAGAGCAGAGGGGAAGAGAGAUCGGUGAGGGAGAAGAGUAGAGGGAGGAGCUACAUCGCCAUCACCGGCCUUGGGCUCGCCGCCGUUCAUACCCCGUUGCGUCACCACCCAGCCGUCUCCAGCCCACCGCCAGUCGCUGUUGUCUUCACCAAGGGAGGAGAGAGAAAAAGGCGAACGCGAGGAGAGAGAGAGAGAGGGAGCUCGCGAGGAAGCUGCCGCCUUCGAAGCUGGGUUCGUCGUUGCCGUUAGAGUCCGCAUCACUAUCGAACUUGCUGCUGUCACCGAGGGGAAGCCCGUCGCCGCCAGCUUCGUCGGGUCCCCGCCGCCGAGCCCGUCUUUGCCACCGCCACUGGAAGCGCGAAGAGAGAACGCGCGAGGGAAACUGUCGCAGAGCUGCCGUCGCCGCCGCGUUGCUGGGCUCGCCGUCGUCCUGCCCGCGCGGCUGCUGCGUUGCCGGAGCUCCUCGCCGCCGCUGUUGACGACGGAAACUGCCUUCCAAGCCUGUGUCUGUUGGUUAUACGGUCACCACGAGUUUCUCUGUCGCCGUCCAAGCUGCCACCAGAAGGAUCCACCACAGCCUCCUCUGUUCUUGUCUUCGAAUUAGAACUGCCCUUUUCCACUGAAUAUGUCUGUUUGAAAAAUUAAAAUGGGUGCUGCUGCCACCGGUUCGGUCACAUUGGAAUCACUGCUGCUGCCAUAAAACAGAAAGGGAAGGGAGUUACUAUGUUUAACCUGUGUGAAUUCAACUAGUUGAGGAACCGGAUGAAGAAGCAUUAAGAAGAGUUAUACUGCGUCUGGUUUAUAAGAUGUUGUAUUAAUUAGAUGUUUUCUCCCCUCGUCUUUGUUAUUACAAGUGUGUAAGAGGGAUAGGAAUUGUAUGUUUUAUAUGUAUAUUAUAUUAUGAGUUAUUAUGUAAAGAGUCUUGUAUAUGAAUCUAUGCCUGUUUGUAUUUUUCUUAAGAUAAAGUGUGUAUUUUUUUUGGUUCUUUUGAAGAAAUCAGCGAUACAGUGUCAGGCCACAGGCUCCUAUUUUAGUAUUUCGUAUGUAAAGUAGUCGUAAUACUUCUUCCUAUCAGAGUGGCGCAGCCGGAAGCGUGAGUUCUGAUAGUGAGGGUGUUACAUUAUGGUAUCAGAGCGGUCUUUUCUGUAGAGCCUGAGGAAUGGACCGAUUAUGCUUCAAUUGCAUACUCUGAGAGUCAGUCAUGUAGUAGGUCUUGUUUGGAUAACGAGAAUAGAGUUUUAAGUACAUGACAGUCUUUUGAUAAAUACCAUUAAUCUUGCAUUGCAUAAUUCUUGGUAUUAAGUUUGGCCAGCUUAACACUAGUGAAUUAUGUAUAUGUAAGCAUUAAUGGGUUAUCAUGGACAAUAUGCGAGUCAUAAAUAAUGCGAAUCGCGGGUUUUGGGAACGUUAAGAGUUAAAUCUUGAGGUUACUCGGUUAGGUGUCUUGAACUCUGCGAAUAUUACGUAUCUUAUUCCUACUUGGUAUGCUCUAAGGUUCUUGUCUACGAUACUUUUCUUGGAAAGUGAACAGAUUAUCUUUCAAUCCUACUCUCUUGUUCACAUACGCUUUUGUUUGAUCCUAAUUGCAUAUGCCUGUUUAAAACCCUUGGUGUAUUUACUUUUUUUUAUUUAGGCACUUCUUUUUGAAUCGUGUAUUUUUUU